RNAcentral lists this ribosomal RNA (550 nucleotides) under Colletotrichum siamense. Its description in RNAcentral is "eukaryotic LSU rRNA". The stretch from base 190 to 343 matches the Rfam family "5.8S ribosomal RNA". The record is from RNAcentral. Lineage: Eukaryota; Fungi; Ascomycota; Sordariomycetes; Glomerellales; Glomerellaceae.
CUGCGGAGGGAUCAUUACUGAGUUUACGCUCUACAACCCUUUGUGAACAUACCUAUAACUGUUGCUUCGGCGGGUAGGGUCUCCGCGACCCUCCCGGCCUCCCGCCUCCGGGCGGGUCGGCGCCCGCCGGAGGAUAACCAAACUCUGAUUUAACGACGUUUCUUCUGAGUGGUACAAGCAAAUAAUCAAAACUUUUAACAACGGAUCUCUUGGUUCUGGCAUCGAUGAAGAACGCAGCGAAAUGCGAUAAGUAAUGUGAAUUGCAGAAUUCAGUGAAUCAUCGAAUCUUUGAACGCACAUUGCGCCCGCCAGCAUUCUGGCGGGCAUGCCUGUUCGAGCGUCAUUUCAACCCUCAAGCUCUGCUUGGUGUUGGGGCCCUACAGCUGAUGUAGGCCCUCAAAGGUAGUGGCGGACCCUCUCGGAGCCUCCUUUGCGUAGUAACUUUACGUCUCGCACUGGGAUCCGGAGGGACUCUUGCCGUAAAACCCCCAAUUUUCCAAAGGUUGACCUCGGAUCAGGUAGGAAUACCCGCUGAACUUAAGCAUAUCAA